This 492-nucleotide ribosomal RNA is filed under the name uncultured bacterium. RNAcentral describes it as "partial 16S ribosomal RNA". It matches the Rfam family "Bacterial small subunit ribosomal RNA", at positions 30 to 507 of the family's 1533-position model. The record is from RNAcentral.
AUUGAACGCUGGCGGCAUGCUUUACACAUGCAAGUCGAACGGCAGCACGGUCUGCGGUCUUUCUGAGGGGUGGGCAGUGGUGGAUGGUUCAGGAACACGUCCCCAUGUGCUUUUUAGAGGCGGGCAACGGAGGGAAACAUACCCUAUUAGCCCUUACGGACAACGGGUGAAAGCAAGGGACCUCCCGCUCUUGCGCGCUCCUAUGAGUCGAUGUCGGAUUAGUGAGUUGGCGGGGUAAAGGCCCACCAAGGCGACGAUCCGUAGCUGGUCUGAGAGGACGACCAGCCACACUGGGACUGAGACACGGCCCAGACUCCUACGGGAGGCAGCAGUGGGGAAUUUUGGACAAUGGGGGCAAGCCUGAUCCAGCCAUGCCGCGUGCGGGAAGAAGGCCUUCGGGUUGUAAACCGCUUUUGUUCGGAAAGAAAAGCUGCGGGUUAAUACCCCGGGGUGAUGACGGUACCGGAAGAAUAAGCACCGGCUAACUACGUG